Molecule: ribosomal RNA, 812 nt
Filed under: Promicromonospora sp.
Lineage: Bacteria; Bacillati; Actinomycetota; Actinomycetes; Micrococcales; Promicromonosporaceae
Description: bacterial SSU rRNA
Rfam family: Bacterial small subunit ribosomal RNA
Source: RNAcentral
GCAAGUCGACGGUGAAGCCCAGCUUGCUGGGUGGAUCAGUGGCGAACGGGUGAGUAACACGUGAGCAACCUGCCCCUCACUUCGGGAUAAGCCUUGGAAACGAGGUCUAAUACCGGAUACGAGCACCUGCCGCAUGGUGGGUGUUGGAAAGUUUUUCGGUGGGGGAUGGGCUCGCGGCCUAUCAGCUUGUUGGUGGGGUAAUGGCCUACCAAGGCGUCGACGGGUAGCCGGCCUGAGAGGGCGACCGGCCACACUGGGACUGAGACACGGCCCAGACUCCUACGGGAGGCAGCAGUGGGGAAUAUUGCACAAUGGGCGAAAGCCUGAUGCAGCGACGCCACGUGAGGGAUGACGGCCUUCGGGUUGUAAACCUCUUUCAGCAGGGAAGAAGCGAGAGUGACGGUACCUGCAGAAGAAGCGCCGGCUAACUACGUGCCAGCAGCCGCGGUAAUACGUAGGGCGCAAGCGUUGUCCGGAAUUAUUGGGCGUAAAGAGCUCGUAGGCGGUCUGUCGCGUCUGGUGUGAAAUCCCAUGGCUCAACUGUGGGCUUGCAUCGGGUACGGGCAGACUAGAGUGCUGUAGGGGAGACUGGAAUUCCUGGUGUAGCGGUGGAAUGCGCAGAUAUCAGGAGGAACACCGAUGGCGAAGGCAGGUCUCUGGGCAGUUACUGACGCUGAGGAGCGAAAGCAUGGGGAGCGAACAGGAUUAGAUACCCUGGUAGUCCAUGCCGUAAACGUUGGGCACUAGGUGUGGGGCCAGUUCCACUGGUUCUGUGCCGCAGCUAACGCAUUAAGUGCCCCGCCUGGGGAGUA